This 297-nucleotide ribosomal RNA is filed under the name Triticum aestivum (bread wheat). RNAcentral's name for it is "partial small subunit ribosomal RNA". The record is from RNAcentral. Lineage: Eukaryota; Viridiplantae; Streptophyta; Magnoliopsida; Poales; Poaceae.
AUGGAGGGAGUAGACUCUCUUAGAAAUGGUUAUAUAUGGCGAGUUGGAAAUGGGCAAAAUAUUGAUAUAUGGGGAGAUGCAUGGAUCUCGAGUAGUGCAAAUAGAAAAAUUAUUGCCCCCAGACAAGGGCAUCUUCUUUCAAAAGUUGUUGAUUUUUUUGAUCCAGACAUGAAUGUUUGGGAUGAAGAUUUGGUGAGACAGACAUUGUGGCAAAUUGAUGCCCAGCGAGUCCUGACGAUCCCGCUCCCUAUCCAUAAUAUGCCGGAUUUCAUUGCUGGGAGCUAUACAGAAAAUGGU